Mandrillus leucophaeus (drill) is the source of this 1488-nucleotide RNA transcript. It is a transcript of the gene named histone-binding protein RBBP4 pseudogene, with no coding region annotated. The record is from RefSeq and is a predicted model, not a curated record. NCBI's taxonomy places the organism in Eukaryota, Metazoa, Chordata, Mammalia, Primates, Cercopithecidae. The transcript has a single exon.
AAGGAGGGAAAAGUGGUGGAUGCGAAGACCGUCUUUACAGGGCAUACGGCAGUAGUAGAUGUUUCCUGGCAUCUGCUCCAUGAGUCUCUGUUUGAGUCAGUUGCUGAUGAUCAGAAACUUAUGAUUUGGAAUACUCAUUCAAACAAUACUUCCAAACCAAGCCACUCAGUUGACGCUCACACUGCUGAAGUGAACUGCCUUUCUUUCAAUCCUUACAGUGAGUUCAUUCUUGCCACAGGAUCAGCUAACAAGACUGCUGCCUUGUGGGAUCUGAGAAAUCUGAAACUUAAGUUGCAUUCCUUUGAGUCACAUAAGGAUGAAAUAUUCCAGGUUCAGUGGUCACUUCACAAUGAGACUAUUUUGGCUUCCAGUGGUACUGAUCGCAGACUGAAUAUCUGGGAUUUAAGUAAAAUUGGAGAGGAACAAUCCCCAGAAGAUGCAGAAGAUGGGCCACCAGAGUUGCUGUUUAUUCAUGGUGGUCACACUGCCAAGAUACCUGAUUUCUCCUGGAAUCCCAAUGAACCUUGGGUGAUUUGUUCUGUAUCAGAAGACAAUAUCAUGCAAGUGUGGCAAAUGGCAGAGAACAUUUAUAAUGAUGAAGACCCUGAAGGAAGCGUGAAUCCAGAAGGACAAGGGUCCUAGAUAUGUCUUUACUUCUUGUGAUUUUAGACUCCCCUUUUUUCUUCUCAACCCUGAGAGUGAUUUAACACUGGUUUUGAGACAGACUUUGUUCAGCUAUCCCUCUAUAUAAUAGGUACCACCAAUAAUGCUAUUAGCCCAAACAGUGGGUGUUUUCUAAAUAUUAAUGGGGGGGCUUGAUUCAGCAAAGCCACAAACUUAACUUUGAAAUUUUCUUCAGGAAUUUUCUAGUAACCCAGGUCUAAAGUAGCUACAGAAGGGGGAAUAUUAUGUGUGAUUAUUUUUCUUCUUAUGCUAUAUAUCCCCAGGUUUUUCAGACUCAUUUAAGUAAAGGCUAGAGUGAGUAAGGAAGAGAGCCAAAUGAGGUAGGUGUCUGAGCCAUGAAGUGUAAAUACUAAAAGAUGUCACUUUUAUUCAGGAAAUAGGGGAGAUUCAAAUCAUAUAGAUUCCUACUCCAAAAUCUUGACACUUGACUUUCCAGGAUGCACAUUUUCAUAUGUAGACCAGUUUCCUCUUAGUUUCCUCAGUUAAGUCAAAAGUACAUGUUCCUGUUUCCCCAUAUAUUCAUAUAUUUUUGCUCGUUAAGUGUAUUUCUUGAGCUGUUUUCAUGUUGUUUCUUUCCUGUCUGUGAAAUAGUGUGGUUUUUUUUUUGUUGUUGUUGUUGUUUUUAACUUGGGACCACCAAGUUGUAAAGAUGUAUGUUUUUACCUGACAGUUACAUCACAGGCAGACUGUCAAGUUGAGAAAAGUGAAUCAAUAACUUGUAUUUGUUUUAAAAAUUAAAUUAAUCCUUGAUAAGAGUUGCUUUUUUUUUUUUUAGGAGUUAGUCCUUGACCACUAGUUUGAUGC